ACAAUCUGGCAGGAGCAACCACCAUGAUCAAGAAGGUGGUUUGCCCUGAGUGACGCCCAGCCAUUGCACUCAGGCUGUGCUGACCUUUGUGAAUUCCUCAAAUGCAAGAAUCUCAACUGCAUCAUUUCUGGUGUGGGGGAGGGGGACUACGUUCACGCUCUCCCCUU
Molecule: small nuclear RNA, 167 nt
Organism: Neoarius graeffei (lesser salmon catfish)
Lineage: Eukaryota; Metazoa; Chordata; Actinopteri; Siluriformes; Ariidae
Product: U1 spliceosomal RNA
Exons: 1
Source: RefSeq, a predicted model, not a curated record